Non-coding RNA from Chlorocebus sabaeus (green monkey), 98 nucleotides. The record is from Rfam. Lineage: Eukaryota; Metazoa; Chordata; Mammalia; Primates; Cercopithecidae.
GUGCUCGCUUCAACAGCACAUAUACUAAAAUUGGAAUGACACAGAGAAGAUUAGCAUGACCCUGCACAAGAAUGAAAAGUAAGGUUUUAAAUUUUCGU